This 507-nucleotide ribosomal RNA is filed under the name Saitozyma podzolica. RNAcentral's name for it is "SSU rRNA". It matches the Rfam family "Eukaryotic small subunit ribosomal RNA", at positions 569 to 1078 of the family's 1831-position model. The record is from RNAcentral. Lineage: Eukaryota; Fungi; Basidiomycota; Tremellomycetes; Tremellales; Trimorphomycetaceae.
AGCAGCCGCGGUAAUUCCAGCUCCAAUAGCGUAUAUUAAAGUUGUUGCAGUUAAAAAGCUCGUAGUCGAACUUCGGAUCUGGCGGGAUGGUCCGCCUUACGGUGUGUACUGUCCGGCCGGAUCUUACCUCUUGGUGAAGCCGUAUGCCCUUUACUGGGUGUGCGGUGGAACCAGGAAUUUUACUUUGAGAAAAUUAGAGUGUUCAAAGCAGGCAUACGCCCGAAUACAUUAGCGUGGAAUAAUAGAAUAGGACGUGCGGUUCUAUUUUGUUGGUUUCUAGGAUCGCCGUAAUGAUUAAUAGGGACGGUCGGGGGCAUUAGUAUUCCGUUGCUAGAGGUGAAAUUCUUAGAUUUACGGAAGACUAACUUCUGCGAAAGCAUUUGCCAAGGACGUUUUCAUUGAUCAAGAACGAAGGUUAGGGGAUCAAAGACGAUCAGAUACCGUCGUAGUCUUAACCAUAAACUAUGCCGACUAGGGAUCGGAUGAUGUUAAUUUUAUAAUGACUCA